Molecule: long non-coding RNA, 3684 nt
Organism: Cygnus olor (mute swan)
Lineage: Eukaryota; Metazoa; Chordata; Aves; Anseriformes; Anatidae
Exons: 8
Source: RefSeq, a predicted model, not a curated record
ACAGCACUCUAAAUUCGUCACUUCAGGAGCACUGUGCCACAUGUGUAGCCCAUUUAACCGUUUAAAUGAUUUUGUGUCAUGGCCCCCUUCCAGCAGCCUCCCCUUGCUGCGACAGCGUAGCUGGCCAUCGUGGCGAGAGCGCUGGGCUUGACCCCUCUCAUCCAGCUCCCAGGUCCUGGCGGCAGGACCUUCGGCCUCCCCACUCUCACACCUUCAUCGCGCACCCACGUGUUGGUCUGACUUGGAGCCCAAAGCUUCCAGGAGGACAGCUCCAAGGGUUUUGUUUAUUUUCUGUGUGGCUGGCUGCGCGAUGAAGAGCUGUCUCAUUUUCAGAUUGUUAAAUGUGCAUAUUGCGUUAGUCUAUAAAGCAUUGGUCCCACAACCCGCACUGAAAGUUUAUUUCCUUUUUAAUUCAGGGACUGUAGGACUUCCCAAUACUAUUUAGAGUAACAAGCGACAAGCAUGCUGUUCCCACCCUCCCCUCUUCCCUAAUACCAAGCUUGUGUGCAUCUGUUUUGGGUUUUUCUCAUUUCCUUUGGGGAUGGGUAUGACUUGGCAUGACUCUCUGAAAAGCCUGGAAGUUUUUCUUUGGAGGUUGCUGGCCCAAAUGUUGCAGUACCAAAAUGCAAUGGAAGUGAGAGGAGCUGCUCCAGUGAGUGCUGCAGGUAGCAGUGGCGGGAAGCUCCUCAGAGCCCUUGGUCUCGUGCCCUUCCCAGCUGUCUCAGCACUGGAAUAUGCACAACGGGUAACAGGCACAACGAGCUCAGCAGACCAGGAGAGGAGCCAGCAGGACCUACAGUGCAGGUAGCUGUGCCCACCAUGCCUUCACCUAGGGAGAUUUAAAUCUGAUAUGUCACAAAUAUAUGAUAUAUCAUCUGAUAGGUCACAAAUCACUGCAUCGAAAGGACUUCAGGUAACUGUGAAUCCCAAGUAAAACGCUUCCGGUGCUGGUGUCUGAUUCAGCCUGUCCAAGUAGGAGGGCAAUGUAUAAAUGGGUCUAGGGAGCAGACAAAGAUUUUAUCCACCAGCCAUGCAAGUAUAUAUCAGCAACCCAGGUGGAUUGCAGAGAUAAUUGCUUGUCCAAGAUUAUGUUUCUACCGCACAGGUUGGCUACAGUGACUCAUGGGCUGCCUAAACUACGCUGCCCGCUGAGGUCCAUCAAAAACCAGUCCUACAGCCAUGUCCCCUGCAGCAGCCCUGGAAAAAGCCAGAAGAAAUGAGAAAGCAGAGCCUCUGUGCACACCAAAAACCCAGGUGCAGCUGGGCCUCCGAGGUGCUUUGCGCAGCGCAGGAGUGGGCUCUUCUCCAGGGAGCCUCCAUCCAAGGUGAUAAGGCAGACAAAGCAAGCACGGAGAAAAAUAGGCUCUUGGCGGAGAAGUGACAAGCUGCAUGCAAUGGGACACAGGAGACACCCACUCCCUGCCCCGUGCGUUGCACCGUGAUGAAUGAUCAACCUCCUCUGUGCAGCGAGACACCUGGACCUGGUGCUGUUCCCCUGGGUGCGGAGCAGAGGGUCACGUCCUGAUGCCCGUCGGCUGCGGUCAGAGAUGGAUGGGUCAGAAUUGUUAGGCAGAUGGAAGAAAUCACCAAGGCAGACAGUCCUGUGUUUCCAUAAAAGCUUGGGAUAGCCACAUUAAGGAAGAUGGCCUGAAAAAAACAAACAUGAAAAUUAUACUGAGCACACCUAAAAGCACUACCCUGGGGCAAAAGUGUGAAGUCACUGAAGAAACAAGGGAGUUGGAGACAGAACAGCAGUGGGACCCUGGCUUCACCCUCAGAGCUGCAUGUCAGUGACACCCAAUGGCACACGGACAGGGAGAUGGAGCAGUGACAGCGUGGCCAGCUCCAGGCAGUAAAAGAUUGAAACUCCAACCCACCCAAUGCAAUUCCUGUAAACACAAUGUACCGUGAGAUUGAGCAGCAAUGUGUUUGGGAACCUUGAUCCUUCCCAUUUCAGGACUGGUGAAACUGGUCAAAAAUGUGAGUGGUUGCAGAGUGGUUCAUCUAACAGGGCUGGGAUUUUAGCCCAGACCAAACAGUAGGCCAUGUUCAAUUGAUAAAGCCGUGGUGCAUAUUCCCCCACAGAGAUUUUUCUUACCUUCCACAAGGUAGGAUGCACAGGGCAUCCUUGCCAGGGUUUAAUGCUCCUCGUGGACUUGGGGUUGGGAGGUUCAGCUGAGACAGUUGUUACUGAGGAAAAUGCAAACACGGAGCUCACAGUAGGGAAACGGUGUUGAUACCCCAGCUAAAACCUUCACCAUCAAAGCAUCCUGUCUCAGGGAUCAUUUUAUUCUCAGAAAGUGGGACAUAAAUACAGAGUUAAUUGUGACCGGAAUCCAUGGCAAUAACCUGUUUAUGGGAAAGCUCCAUCCCUAGUCUAGAAGAGCUGUAAUCUUACUCUGCCAUCUAAAAUUUGUUGCUUUAUUAAGAUUACAUUCUCUGCCCUCCCCAAAAAGUGAGUUAGUUUGAUAUGUUUAUUGCCCUUUGUCAGGAUGGCCAUAUUUUUUUCUGCUUUGAAAAUAGAUGUUACUGCUUAUAUGGCUGUAUAUUUAUCCUUUCUUUUAGCUUUUUCAUUACUGUUCCCUUUAAUCAUUUAAUGAGGAGUGUUCAGGUUCCUGAUGAUUUAAAAUUAUGACUCACAGAGACACUGGCAAUAUCUUUGCUGGAGUAACGUUGAUCCUCUAACUUUAAGACUUUAAAUUCAAACCACAUGUUUUUGCCACUAACUCUGAAAACAACCCCUGGAGUUGUGUGACUGUCACUAGAAUAUAAACCAUAGCUAUUCUGUAACCCUCUGCAAACAAAAGCCGCAGUAUUUAAAUUGCGGUUAUGGUCAGAGAAGUGACUAUUUUAAUCAUUGCUCUGGUUUACUCGGGAGAUCUGCUCCCUCUGCACAUUCCAAAUAUCUCUGCAGAUUUUUAUAGACUGAAAUGAGAUUUUACUGCUUUCCACUCCUCUUAGCCCUACAGAGGCCAGACAACGCGGGGCGAGUGAGCCAGAUUUGUUCCAGACUCACACAUCAACAUAGCUGUUAGCCGAAUUCCAGCGGCAGGACCUGUGUAACUGAUGAUGUGCCCGCCAGGGCAAGCAGCUACACUUUUGUGUCCCCAGGGAGCUCUCGGGGUGCGUGGCAGUUAGGGGUAAAGAACGAGAACCUAAAACACGGUGUUCUCCCUAUAAAGUAGAUUGUUUUGAAAUGGAAAAAAAAAAAUCCCUGAGAGGCCUCUUGGGCUGAAAGGGCUCUUUGAACACAGCUACCUGGAUGCCACCCUGCCCCAGGAGCAGAGGCUCGGAGAGAAGGAAAUCAUGUUUAAAAAAAUGGCAUUACAUGCAGAAGUUGAAGAUGCGUAAGUCUUACAGGGAUUUUUCUGCUGGGUUUUGAGGAGAUAAUUCACUUUUUGAACAUCUCCCUUACAUGAACAGUUUCUUGCAGCCUUUUGGGUGCUGAGCUUCAGCCUCUUGGGACUUGCAUAAAGUGGUUCGCUGCCUCCCCCCGCCACUCAAGCCCCUUUUUUUGUGUGUUUGCUGCAUCAAGAAUAAAUCCCAUUUAGAAGGUGGCUGCUUUAACUCACUAUCUGCAUUUACGAUAUGUAAUAUAUGUGUUUUGUUCCUGCAAAAAACUCCUAUUGCAGUAUCACGAAUGUUACUCUGAUAAAUGUGUAUUCAAAAUAAACGUUGGUAGGA